Molecule: ribosomal RNA, 467 nt
Filed under: uncultured bacterium
Lineage: Bacteria
Description: bacterial LSU rRNA
Rfam family: Bacterial large subunit ribosomal RNA
Source: RNAcentral
CGUCAUCGUAGGGUUAGUCGGGACCUAAGUCGAGUCCGAAAGGGGUAGACGAUGGCAAAUCGGUUAAUAUUCCGAUACCGACGGUUGUUUGUUUGAAUGAUGGAGGGACGCAUAGGGCUAAUCGAGCUCACUGAUGGAAUAGUGGGUCGAAGGGUGUAGGUUGUUAAGUAGGCAAAUCCGCUUAACAUGAGACCGAGAUCUUACAGGCUCUUCAAUAGCUUCGGCUAGCGAGGAGAAUCGAUGAUACUGUCGUGCCGAGAAAAGCCUCUAAAUGAGAACAACCGUUGCCCGUACCGUAAACCGACACAGGUGGGUGAGAUGAGUAUUCUAAGGCGCGUGGAUGAACCCUGGUUAAGGAACUCUGCAAACUAGCACCGUAUCUUCGGUAUAAGGUGUGCCCUGACUGUUAAGAGAUUUACUCUCUGAAGCGGUCAUGGGUCGCAGCAAAGUGUCCCUCCCGACUGUUU